AGAGUAGCCACGGUAAUACGUAGGGUGCAAGCGUUAAUCGGAAUUACUGGGCGUAAAGCGUGCGCAGGCGGUUAUAUAAGACAGAUGUGAAAUCCCCGGGCUCAACCUGGGAACUGCAUUUGUGACUGUAUAGCUAGAGUACGGCAGAGGGGGAUGGAAUUCCGCGUGUAGCAGUGAAAUGCGUAGAUAUGCGGAGGAACACCGAUGGCGAAGGCAAUCCCCUGGGCCUGUACUGACGCUCAUGCACGAAAGCGUGGGGAGCAAACAGGAUUAGAUACCCCAGUAGUCCCUGUCUCUUAUACA
This 303-nucleotide ribosomal RNA is filed under the name uncultured bacterium. Its description in RNAcentral is "partial 16S ribosomal RNA". It matches the Rfam family "Bacterial small subunit ribosomal RNA", at positions 508 to 808 of the family's 1533-position model. The record is from RNAcentral.